Molecule: long non-coding RNA, 615 nt
Filed under: Homo sapiens (human)
Lineage: Eukaryota; Metazoa; Chordata; Mammalia; Primates; Hominidae
Description: HSALNT0334114
Source: RNAcentral
CAAACAGUGCCCAGAAAAUUAGCCAGCCAUUUGGGAAAAAGAAUGCUAGCUCAAGAGAAAAAAUUUGACCAUAGAGCUGCAGGCUUGCCACUGUGAUGCUGAUGUGAAACAGCCUAGUCUGAACUUCUUUGACAGCACAGACAACUCCACUGAUCGAACAAGAGGAAAGGAACAAUAGCCUGGAGCCUAUUCAAGUAAACCUGAUUAGAAAUACCAUUCAACUGGGCCAGGUGCGGUGGCUCACGCCUGUAAUCCCAGCACUUUGGGAGGCCAAGGUGGGCAGAUCACGAGGUCAAGAGAUCAAGACCAUCCUGGCCAACAUGGUGAAACCCCAUCUCUACUAAAAAUACAAAAAAAAAUUUAGCUGGGCGUGGUGGUGCGUGCCUGAAAUCCCAGCUACUCGGGAGCCUGAGGCAGGAGAAUCCGGAAGGCAAGACAGCAUCUCACUCUGUCAGCCAGGCUGGAGUACUCACUGCAUCCUCCACCUCCCAGGCUCAAGAGAUCCUCCCACCUCAGCCUCCUGAGUAGCUGGGACCACAGAUUGGGAAGGCCACUCAUACUCCGGCGGUAUCUGGAGGACCUCCGGGAAGACGGCAAGGACAGCACUUCCGAAAU